GCCCUUAGAGUUUGAUCCUGGCUCAGGACGAACGCUGGCGGCAGGCUUAACACAUGCAAGUCGCACGAGAACAGGCCUUCGGGCCUUAGGAAAGUGGCGGACGGGUGAGUAACACGUAGACAACCUGCCCCAAAGCGAGGGAUAACUAUCGGAAACGGUAGCUAAUACCGCAUGCAGUCUUUACCGGGCAUCCGGUUUAGAUGAAAGCCUUCGGGCGCUUUGGGAUGGGUCUGCGGAGGAUUAGUUUGUUGGUAGGGUAAAGGCCUACCAAGACUACGAUCCAUAGCUGGUCUGAGAGGACGAUCAGCCACACUGGGACUGAGACACGGCCCAGACUCCUACGGGAGGCAGCAGUGGGGAAUCUUGGGCAAUGGGCGAAAGCCUGACCCAGCCAUGCCGCGUGGAGGAAGACACCCCUAUGGGGCGUAAACUCCUUUUGUGCAGGAAGAAGGCCUCGGUCACCGAGGUUUGACGGUACUGCACGAAUAAGCACCGGCUAACUCCGUGCCAGCAGCCGCGGUAAUACGGAGGGUGCAAGCGUUGUCCGGAAUCACUGGGUGUAAAGGGUGUGUAGGCGGGAUUGUAAGUCAGAGGUGAAAUCUUGCGGCUCAACCGUAAAAUUGCCUUUGAUACUGCAGUUCUUGAGUCCCGGAGAGGUUGUUGGAAUUCGUGGUGUAGCG
This 680-nucleotide ribosomal RNA is filed under the name uncultured Bacteroidota bacterium. RNAcentral's name for it is "bacterial SSU rRNA". It matches the Rfam family "Bacterial small subunit ribosomal RNA", at positions 1 to 680 of the family's 1533-position model. The record is from RNAcentral. Lineage: Bacteria; Pseudomonadati; Bacteroidota.